AUCCUGAAACCGUGUGCCUACAAGUAGUCAAAGCCCGUUAAUGGGUAAUGGCGUGCCUUUUGUAGAAUGAACCGGCGAGUUACGAUUUCAUGCGAGGUUAAGUUGAUGAGACGGAGCCGCAGCGAAAGCGAGUCUGAAUAGGGCGAAUGAGUAUGAGGUCGUAGACCCGAAACCAGGUGAUCUACCCAUGUCCAGGGUGAAGUUCAGGUAACACUG
RNAcentral lists this ribosomal RNA (216 nucleotides) under Peribacillus simplex. RNAcentral's name for it is "Bacillus simplex partial 23S ribosomal RNA". It matches the Rfam family "Bacterial large subunit ribosomal RNA", at positions 547 to 764 of the family's 2925-position model. The record is from RNAcentral. Lineage: Bacteria; Bacillati; Bacillota; Bacilli; Caryophanales; Bacillaceae.